RNAcentral lists this ribosomal RNA (387 nucleotides) under uncultured prokaryote. RNAcentral's name for it is "partial 16S ribosomal RNA". The record is from RNAcentral.
CCCUCCGGGGUGCAGGCGAGCGAGCCAAAGAUCCAUGAGUUUUUUGCGAAUGUUGGGGUGGAGAUCUCGGAAGGUCAGGUAUCCAAUCUGUUGAUCAAAAAGCAGGCCGAGUUUCACCAGGAAAGCGCCGAGGUAUACGAUUCUGGUCUGCGCAGCAGUCCGUGGCAGCACACAGACGACACGCUGACGCGGGUAACGGGGGAAAAUCAACACUGCCACGUGGUCUGCAAUCCGGUGUACACGGCGUAUCAUACACGGCCAACCAAAGAGCGGUUGAGUGUAUUGGAUGUAUUACGCCAGGGGCGGCCGCGCAUCUUUCGGCUGAAUGAUGAAGCGUUGGGCUAUGUGGGGAAUUUGAACUGGUCAAAGAAAGCCUGGCGGGGGGGC